CGCGUACACAAUCUGCCCUUAUCUGGGGGAAAGUCGCUGGAAACGGCGAAUAAUCCCGCAUAAGACCCCGCUAUCGCAUGAUAGAGAGGUUAAAGCUACGGCGGAAAAGGAUGAGUGUGCGUACUAUUAGCUAGUUGGUAGGGUAACGGCCUACCAAGGCGACGAUAGUUAGGGGGCGUGAGAGCGUGAUCCCCCACACGGGUACUGAGACACGGACCCGACUCCUACGGGAGGCAGCAGUAAGGAAUAUUGGUCAAUGGAGGCAACUCUGAACCAGCCAUUCCGCGUGCGGGAAGACGG
RNAcentral lists this ribosomal RNA (300 nucleotides) under uncultured bacterium. RNAcentral's name for it is "bacterial SSU rRNA". It matches the Rfam family "Bacterial small subunit ribosomal RNA", at positions 114 to 414 of the family's 1533-position model. The record is from RNAcentral.